This 558-nucleotide ribosomal RNA is filed under the name uncultured eukaryote. Its description in RNAcentral is "SSU rRNA". It matches the Rfam family "Eukaryotic small subunit ribosomal RNA", at positions 1 to 565 of the family's 1831-position model. The record is from RNAcentral.
UCUGGUUGAUCCUGCCAGUAGUCAUAUGCUUGUCUCAAAGAUUAAGCCAUGCAUGUCUAAGUAUAAGCAAUUAUACCGCGAAACUGCGAAUGGCUCAUUAAAUCAGUUAUCGUUUAUUUGAUAGUACCUUACUACUUGGAUAACCGUGGUAAUUCUAGAGCUAAUACAUGCUAAAAAUCCCGACUUCGGAAGGGAUGUAUUUAUUAGAUUAAAAACCAAUGCCCUUCGGGGCUCUCUGGUGAUUCAUAAUAACUUCUCGAAUCGCACGGCCUUGCGCCGGCGAUGGUUCAUUCAAAUUUCUGCCCUAUCAACUUUCGACGGCUGGGUCUUGGCCAGCCAUGGUGACAACGGGUAACGGAGGGUUAGGGCUCGACCCCGGAGAAGGAGCCUGAGAAACGGCUACUACAUCCAAGGAAGGCAGCAGGCGCGCAAAUUACCCAAUCCCGACUCGGGGAGGUAGUGACAAUAAAUACUGAUACAGGGCUCUUUUGGGUCUUGUAAUUGGAAUGAGUACAAUUUAAAUCCCUUAACGAGGAACAAUUGGAGGGCAAGUCUGGU